This 301-nucleotide ribosomal RNA is filed under the name uncultured bacterium. Its description in RNAcentral is "partial 16S ribosomal RNA". It matches the Rfam family "Bacterial small subunit ribosomal RNA", at positions 509 to 809 of the family's 1533-position model. The record is from RNAcentral.
CAGUAGCCGCGGUAAUACGUAGGGUGCGAGCGUUAAUCGGAAUUACUGGGCGUAAAGCGUGCGCAGGCGGUUCGUUAAGACAGAUGUGAAAUCCCCGGGCUUAACCUGGGAACUGCAUUUGUGACUGACGGGCUAGAGUAUGGCAGAGGGGGGUAGAAUUCCACGUGUAGCAGUGAAAUGCGUAGAGAUGUGGAGGAAUACCGAUGGCGAAGGCAGCCCCCUGGGCCAAUACUGACGCUCAUGCACGAAAGCGUGGGGAGCAAACAGGAUUAGAUACCCGGGUAGUCCCUGUCUCUUAUAA